Small nucleolar RNA from Malania oleifera, 105 nucleotides. NCBI's taxonomy places the organism in Eukaryota, Viridiplantae, Streptophyta, Magnoliopsida, Santalales, Ximeniaceae. The record is from RefSeq and is a predicted model, not a curated record.
ACUUGGUGAUGUGGAUAUUUACGAAGUAGGUUCCUAAAGCGCUCCCACGUCUCAAAAAAGAGUUCCCCUUCCAUUUGUGAGAAACAUGUGAUGGCUCUCUAAAUU